Molecule: unclassified non-coding RNA, 1825 nt
Filed under: uncultured fungus
Lineage: Eukaryota; Fungi
Description: sequence contains 18S rRNA gene, ITS1, 5.8S rRNA gene, ITS2, 28S rRNA gene
Source: RNAcentral
ACCUCACCCUGCUGGACAAAGUCGGGGUGCGCCUCGACAAGUUCGGCGACAGCAAUGGUCGCGUGGACGACUUGUUCGCUCGGGCAAGCAUCUAAACGGCCUGAGGUGCGCCGAUGAUCCAACACCUGCGAGCCAUCCCAACAGCGAGCGGCAGGGUGAUGGUCCUGGCAUGCUCCUUAAUCCUUGGCUUGUGUGGUGCAGGAUCGGCCAACGCCGCAGACGCCGUGAUCGCCGAUGCCGCGGAGAAGGCAGAUUGGCCGUGCGUGCGUGCGCUUUUGGCGGACCGCGCCGACGUGAGUGUUGCUCAAGCGGACGGCGCGACAGCCCUCCACUGGGCCGCGUAUCACGACAACCUGGAAACCACCAAGCUCCUACUGGCCGCCGGUGCAAGCGCGAAGGCCGAGAACAACUUUGGAGUCACGCCUCUUUCGCUCGCAUGCACAAACGGUAAUGCGGAAGUGAUCAAAGCGCUCCUCGCGGCUGGCGCGGAUCCCAACACGACGUUGCGCGGCGGCGAAACAGCGCUGAUGACCGCUGCGCGAAGCGGGCGCGUGGAUGCGGUGCGCGCUUUGUGCGAAGCCGGCGCAAAGGUGGACGCGGUCGAUCGCAAGGGGCAAACCGCGUUGAUGUGGGCUGCAUCCGACGGCCACGCCGCGGUGGUGGAAUUGCUCAUCAAGUCGGGCGCGGACAUACGUGCUCGUGUCAACUCGGGCUUCACGCCAAUGCUGUUCGCAGCACGACAGGGGCGCGCGGAAGUCGUGAGGGUACUGCUCAAGGCUGGCGUGGACAUCAAUCUAACGAUCGAAAGUAAGCGAAGCGCGCUGCUGCUCGCGGUCGAAAACGGGCACUUCGAGCUCGCUACGGAAUUGCUGAAAGCCGGCGCCGAUCCAAACGAUGCCCGCUGCGGGUUUACUCCGCUGCAUGUUCUGACCUGGGUCCGCAAGCCAAUACUCAAUGAAGACGCGCCUCCCGCGGGUUCAGGGAAUCUGACCAGCAUGCAAUUCGCCCGGCAAUUGGUGGCGUCGGGUGCGCAGGUGAAUAGCAAGGCGGGAAAAGGUACGGGGCGCGCAAAGUUGGACGCAACCGGCGCGACGCCGUUUUUUCUUGCGUCGCAGACUGCGGACCUGCCCUACAUGCGUUUGCUUGUCGAAUUGGGCGCAGAUCCCCUGCUGCCCAAUGAAAAUGGCUGCACGCCGCUGAUGGCCGCUGCCGGCAUGGGCUCCGACGCGCGCAGAGAAGAUGCCGCAACCGAAGCGGAGACGCUUGCCGCUGUCGAGUAUCUGCUGAGCCUCGGCGCCGACAUCAAAACAGUGGACCAGAACGGCGAAACGGUCAUGCACGCCGCCGCGUAUCAAGGCUCGGCAAAGAUGGUUCAGUUGCUCGCCGACAAAGGCGCGAAAAUCGAACUCUGGAACCGCAAGAACAAGCAGGGAUGGACGCCGCUACUCAUCGCGCAAGGCUACCGGCCAGGCAACUUCGUGCCCUCCAACGAGACGAUCGAAGCCCUGGAGCGGGUGAUGCGUGCCGCGGGGGUUACGCCGCCACCCGCACCGCCGAUUGCCACCACGAACCCGUCGGAUUAUGGCGCGGCCAAAGCCGGUCAAUGACUGAUCGCAUCGGCGAUCAAUACUCUUUCUGCUUAUCGACCACGUUUAGAAGCGGCAACCCAGCGGCGAACCGCCUCAUGUUCUCGACGAAAAUCUCCGGCUCGCGGUUGAUCUUUGAUCCGCCGGCUUUGUGCGGUGUGAUGGCAACGUUCGGCACCUUCCACAGCGGAUGAUCAUCGGGCAGCGGCUCUGGGUCGGUGACAUCCAAACCGGCGCCG